GCGAACGCUGGCGGAAUGCUUAACACAUGCAAGUCGCACGGGGGAUUUCGGUCCUUAGUGGCGGACGGGUGAGUAACGCGUAGGAAUGUGUCCAGAGAUGGGGGACAACGUUGGGAAACUGACGCUAAUACCGCAUGUGACCUGAGGGUCAAAGCCGCGAGGCGUCUUUGGAGCAGCCUGCGUCCGAUUAGCUUGUUGGUGGGGUAAAGGCUUACCAAGGCGACGAUCGGUAGCUGGUCUGAGAGGAUGAUCAGCCACACUGGAACUGAGACACGGUCCAGACUCCUACGGGAGGCAGCAGUGGGGAAUAUUGGACAAUGGGCGCAAGCCUGAUCCAGCAAUUCCGCGUGGGUGAAGAAGGUCUUCGGAUUGUAAAGCCCUUUCGACAGGGACGAUGAUGACGGUACCUGUAGAAGAAGCCCCGGCUAACUUCGU
RNAcentral lists this ribosomal RNA (435 nucleotides) under uncultured bacterium. RNAcentral describes it as "bacterial SSU rRNA". It matches the Rfam family "Bacterial small subunit ribosomal RNA", at positions 29 to 506 of the family's 1533-position model. The record is from RNAcentral.